GCAGUCGACGAACUUCCGUUAAUUGAUUAUGACGUACUUGUACUGAUUGAGAAUUUAACACGAAGUGAGUGGCGAACGGGUGAGUAACACGUGGGUAACCUGCCCAGAAGUAGGGGAUAACACCUGGAAACAGAUGCUAAUACCGUAUAACAGAGAAAACCGCAUGGUUUUCUUUUAAAAGAUGGCUCUGCUAUCACUUCUGGAUGGACCCGCGGCGUAUUAGCUAGUUGGUGAGGUAAAGGCUCACCAAGGCAGUGAUACGUAGCCGACCUGAGAGGGUAAUCGGCCACAUUGGGACUGAGACACGGCCCAGACUCCUACGGGAGGCAGCAGUAGGGAAUCUUCCACAAUGGACGCAAGUCUGAUGGAGCAACGCCGCGUGAGUGAAGAAGGGUUUCGGCUCGUAAAGCUCUGUUGUUAAAGAAGAACGUGGGUAAGAGUAACUGUUUACCCAGUGACGGUAUUUAACCAGAAAGCCACGGCUAACUACGUGCCAGCAGCCGCGGUAAUACGUAGGUGGCAAGCGUUAUCCGGAUUUAUUGGGCGUAAAGCGAGCGCAGGCGGUCUUUUAAGUCUAAUGUGAAAGCCUUCGGCUCAACCGAAGAAGUGCAUUGGAAACUGGGAGACUUGAGUGCAGAAGAGGACAGUGGAACUCCAUGUGUAGCGGUGAAAUGCGUAGAUAUAUGGAAGAACACCAGUGGCGAAGGCGGCUGUCUG
Molecule: ribosomal RNA, 717 nt
Filed under: Pediococcus pentosaceus
Lineage: Bacteria; Bacillati; Bacillota; Bacilli; Lactobacillales; Lactobacillaceae
Description: bacterial SSU rRNA
Rfam family: Bacterial small subunit ribosomal RNA
Source: RNAcentral